CUGCUGCCUUCCGUAGGAGUCUGGGCCGUGUCUCAGUCCCAGUGUGGCUGGUCGUCCUCUCAGACCAGCUACUGAUCGUUGCUUUGGUGAGCCGUUACCUCACCAACCGGCUAAUCAGUCAUCGGCCGCUCCGCUCGCGAGAGGCCCUUGCGGGUCCCCCUCUUUCUUCCGUAGAACUCAUGCGGUAUUAGCCAACCUUUCGGCUGGUUGUCCCCCACGAGCGGACACGUUCCGAUGUAUUACUCACCCGUUCG
RNAcentral lists this ribosomal RNA (254 nucleotides) under uncultured bacterium. Its description in RNAcentral is "partial 16S ribosomal RNA". The record is from RNAcentral.